RNAcentral lists this ribosomal RNA (388 nucleotides) under uncultured bacterium. RNAcentral's name for it is "bacterial SSU rRNA". It matches the Rfam family "Bacterial small subunit ribosomal RNA", at positions 29 to 408 of the family's 1533-position model. The record is from RNAcentral.
AAUGAACGCUGGCGGCGCGCCUAAUACAUGCAAGUCGAGCGAGAAGACGUAGCAAUACGUUUGUAAAGCGGCGAACGGGUGAGGAAUACAUGGGUAACCUACCCUCGAGUGGGGAAUAACUAGCCGAAAGGUUAGCUAAUACCGCGUACGCUCCUUGGACUUCGGUUCAGGGAGGAAAGCGAUACCGUGGGUAUCGCGCUCUUGGUUGGGCUCAUGUCCUAUCAGCUUGUUGGUGAGGUAACGGCUCACCAAGGCUUCGACGGGUAGCUGGUCUGAGAGGACGAUCAGCCACACUGGCACUGCGACACGGGCCAGACUCCUACGGGAGGCAGCAGUAAGGAUAUUGCGCAAUGGGCGAAAGCCUGACGCAGCGACGCCGCGUGGGGGA